AAGUCGUAACAAGGUUUCCGUAGGUGAACCUGCGGAAGGAUCAUUGCCACACACGAUCCAAGAUCGACACUUAUUGUGAACUGUUAAAUGUUUGUGUUAUCUGACUUUAAUUGAGGGAUUUAUUCUUCUUUUAAUUUCAUGUAAUGCUUUUUUUUAAACCACCAUUAUAUUAACAUGAAUUAUUCAUUGGAACAUAAAUGUUAUGUAAAGUCUGUCUUUAUAUAACGCUAGAUUGAAAAUUGUAAACAACUUUUAACAACGGAUAUCUAGGUUCUU
Molecule: unclassified non-coding RNA, 276 nt
Filed under: fungal sp.
Lineage: Eukaryota; Fungi
Description: partial internal transcribed spacer region
Rfam family: Eukaryotic small subunit ribosomal RNA (bases 1-46)
Source: RNAcentral